GAUGAACGCUGGCGGCGUGCUUAACACAUGCAAGUCGAACGAUUAAGACCCCUUCGGGGGUGUAUAGAGUGGCGAACGGGUGAGUAACACGUGGGCAACCUGCCCCUUCCUCUGGGAUAACACGGAGAAAUCCGUGCUAAUACCGGAUACUCCAUAUCUGCGGCAUCGCGGAUAUGGGAAAGCUCCGACGGGAAGGGAUGGGCCCGCGGUCCAUUAGCUAGUCGGUGGGGUAACGGCCUACCGAGGCGACGAUGGAUAGCCGGGUUGAGAGACCGACCGGCCACAUAGGGACUGAGACACGGCCCAGACUCCUACGGGAGGCAGCAGUGGGGAAUUUUGCGCAAUGGGGGAAACCCUGACGCAGCAACGCCGCGUGCGGGAUGAAGGCCUUCGGGUUGUAGCCGCUUUCAGCAGGGAAGAAUACAGACGGUACCUGCAGAAGAAGCUCCGGCUAACUACGUGCCAGCCGCCGCCGUAA
This 478-nucleotide ribosomal RNA is filed under the name uncultured bacterium. RNAcentral describes it as "partial 16S ribosomal RNA". It matches the Rfam family "Bacterial small subunit ribosomal RNA", at positions 28 to 523 of the family's 1533-position model. The record is from RNAcentral.